Molecule: transfer RNA, 70 nt
Filed under: Camelus bactrianus (Bactrian camel)
Lineage: Eukaryota; Metazoa; Chordata; Mammalia; Artiodactyla; Camelidae
Also listed under: 2 other names
Rfam family: tRNA
About the family: Transfer RNA (tRNA) molecules are approximately 80 nucleotides in length. Their secondary structure includes four short double-helical elements and three loops (D, anti-codon, and T loops). Further hydrogen bonds mediate the characteristic L-shaped molecular structure. tRNAs have two regions of fundamental functional importance: the anti-codon, which is responsible for specific mRNA codon recognition, and the 3' end, to which the tRNAs corresponding amino acid is attached (by aminoacyl-tRNA synthetases). tRNAs cope with the degeneracy of the genetic code in two manners: having more than one tRNA (with a specific anti-codon) for a particular amino acid; and 'wobble' base-pairing, i.e. permitting non-standard base-pairing at the 3rd anti-codon position.
Source: Rfam by way of RNAcentral
GGGUAUAGCUCAGUGGUAGAGUGCAUGCUUAGCAUGCACAAGGUCUUGGGUUCAAUCCCUAGUACCUCCA